UAUAUUUUAGUGUUACUAGCACUAAAAAUUUUGAAUUUUUAAGAUUUAAUUAAUUAUUAAUAAAUAUAA
RNAcentral lists this transfer RNA (69 nucleotides) under Cheumatopsyche sp. XG-2022. RNAcentral's name for it is "tRNA-Gln". The record is from RNAcentral. Lineage: Eukaryota; Metazoa; Arthropoda; Insecta; Trichoptera; Hydropsychidae.